Molecule: ribosomal RNA, 593 nt
Filed under: Trichosporon sp. BG090809.6.8.4.3.34
Lineage: Eukaryota; Fungi; Basidiomycota; Tremellomycetes; Trichosporonales; Trichosporonaceae
Description: eukaryotic LSU rRNA
Rfam family: Eukaryotic large subunit ribosomal RNA
Source: RNAcentral
ACCCGCUGAACUUAAGCAUAUCAAUAAGCGGAGGAAAAGAAACUAACAAGGAUUCCCCUAGUAACGGCGAGUGAACCGGGAAGAGCUCAAAUUUGAAAUCUGGCAGUCUUCGAUUGUCCGAGUUGUAAUCUAUAGAAGCGUUUUCCGUGCUGAACUGUGUAUAAGUCCCUUGGAACAGGGUAUCAAAGAGGGUGACAAUCCCGUACUUUACACAAUCAUCAGUGCUCUGUGAUACGUUCUCUACGAGUCGAGUUGUUUGGGAAUGCAGCUCAAAAUGGGUGGUAAAUUCCAUCUAAAGCUAAAUAUUGGCGAGAGACCGAUAGCGAACAAGUACCGUGAGGGAAAGAUGAAAAGCACUUUGGAAAGAGAGUUAAACAGUACGUGAAAUUGUUGAAAGGGAAACGAAAUUCAUGAAUCAUGUUUAUUGGACUCAGCCGUUCUUCGGUGUACUUCCUUUAAACGGGUCAACAUCAGUUUUGUCCGAUGGAUAAAGGUAGUAGGAAGGUGGCUCUCUCGGGAGUGUUAUAGCCUAUUGCUGCAUACAUUGGAUGAGACUGAGGACUGCAGCUUGCCUUUAUGGCCGGGGUUCGCCC